CUUCUGUGAUGACCUCUGCUUUGAGCCAUCGUGUCUGGGCCACUGAGGAUAACCCUGUGAUGGAACUGAGGAUCUGAGUAG
This is a small nucleolar RNA of Crotalus tigris (Tiger rattlesnake), 81 nucleotides long. RefSeq annotates it as small nucleolar RNA SNORD66. NCBI's taxonomy places the organism in Eukaryota, Metazoa, Chordata, Lepidosauria, Squamata, Viperidae. The transcript has a single exon. The record is from RefSeq and is a predicted model, not a curated record.